This 991-nucleotide ribosomal RNA is filed under the name Escherichia albertii. RNAcentral describes it as "partial 23S ribosomal RNA". It matches the Rfam family "Bacterial large subunit ribosomal RNA", at positions 162 to 1191 of the family's 2925-position model. The record is from RNAcentral. Lineage: Bacteria; Pseudomonadati; Pseudomonadota; Gammaproteobacteria; Enterobacterales; Enterobacteriaceae.
AUCCAUAGGUUAAUGAGGCGAACCGGGGGAACUGAAACAUCUAAGUACCCCGAGGAAAAGAAAUCAACCGAGAUUCCCCCAGUAGCGGCGAGCGAACGGGGAGGAGCCCAGAGCCUGAAUCAGUGUGUGUGUUAGUGGAAGCGUCUGGAAAGGCGCGCGAUACAGGGUGACAGCCCCGUACACAAAAAUGCACAUGCUGUGAGCUCGAUGAGUAGGGCGGGACACGUGGUAUCCUGUCUGAAUAUGGGGGGACCAUCCUCCAAGGCUAAAUACUCCUGACUGACCGAUAGUGAACCAGUACCGUGAGGGAAAGGCGAAAAGAACCCCGGCGAGGGGAGUGAAAAAGAACCUGAAACCGUGUACGUACAAGCAGUGGGAGCCCUGAUUUAUCAGGGUGACUGCGUACCUUUUGUAUAAUGGGUCAGCGACUUAUAUUCUGUAGCAAGGUUAACCGAAUAGGGGAGCCGGAGGGAAACCGAGUCUUAACUGGGCGUUAAGUUGCAGGGUAUAGACCCGAAACCCGGUGAUCUAGCCAUGGGCAGGUUGAAGGUUGGGUAACACUAACUGGAGGACCGAACCGACUAAUGUUGAAAAAUUAGCGGAUGACUUGUGGCUGGGGGUGAAAGGCCAAUCAAACCGGGAGAUAGCUGGUUCUCCCCGAAAGCUAUUUAGGUAGCGCCUCGUGAAUUCAUCUCCGGGGGUAGAGCACUGUUUCGGCAAGGGGGUCAUCCCGACUUACCAACCCGAUGCAAACUGCGAAUACCGGAGAAUGUUAUCACGGGAGACACACGGCGGGUGCUAACGUCCGUCGUGAAGAGGGAAACAACCCAGACCGCCAGCUAAGGUCCCAAAGUCAUGGUUAAGUGGGAAACGAUGUGGGAAGGCCCAGACAGCCAGGAUGUUGGCUUAGAAGCAGCCAUCAUUUAAAGAAAGCGUAAUAGCUCACUGGUCGAGUCGGCCUGCGCGGAAGAUGUAACGGGGCUAAACCAUG